GGGGCCCUUUCCAUUUCACAGUAAAACCAUUUGAGUUUCACAGCGCUCCAGCAACUUUCCAGAGACUCAUGGACCAGGUCAUUUGUUAUUUCUCUGGUUUUGCUGCAGCAUAUCUAGAUGUCAUUGUCAUUUACAGUAACACGUGGGAGGAACACCUGCAAGCUGUCUUGUAUCGCCUUCAUUCUGCCUGGCUGACUGUCAUCCUGUCGAAGUACCUAGGCCACGUCAUCUUCAAUGGGGUUGUACGCCCUCAGGUCAACAAAAUCCAGGCCAUAGAGUCCUCGCCCCUGCCACAAACAAGGAAGCAGUGCUGAUCUUUUUUGGGCUAUCAGGCUUCUAUCACUGCUUCAAACCCAAUUUCUCCAACAGGGCAGCUCUUCUCACAGACUUGACUAGAUCCUGGAGUCCCAAUCAGAUCCAGUGGACAGAGACGGCAGUGGCAGCUUUCAGUGAUAUCCAUCAAUCAUUGACUUUGACGAACAUUUUCUUCUGCAAACUGAUGCUUCUGACAGGGCUUUGGGAGCUGUGUUACUCCAGGGACUUCAGGAUGAUCGGCAUCCAGUCGCUACAUCAGCUGGAAACUGUUCCCCAGAGAGGUUUGAUCUUUGACGGUGGAGAAGGAGGCACUGGCUAUCAAGUGGGCCCUUGAUUCCUUCCGGUACUACCUUCUUGCUCAAGAGUUCACCUUGGAGACGGAUCACAAAAAUAAAAACCUACCUUUUCUUUAAACUUACUCCUGUGUCUCGUGCCUUACUGCUUGGUCCCUAGCAGUCCCCCACAAGAGAAUCCUACUCACCAGGGUAAGAGUGUUUAUAAGUCACACUACAAGUGAAGGCCUGUGUCUGGUCAUGAAAUGUUUGUCUGAUUUCACCUAUGGCUUUGAUGAUGUCACCAGUUGUAAUAAUCCCAAUGAAUUUCAUUACCUACAUAAAGAUGUGGCUUCUUCUUUAGGCUUUGGUAGAGAAACCAUCCAGUGGUGACGGGAAGACGUACCACUAUCUCCUCACACAGAAAUACGAGGGAAAAUAUGUACACCCAUUUUUCUGCCCCAUAGAAAAAAUGGAUGUAGGAUCUUUGAAAGAGGUUACCCUCUUCUGUUAGGGUUAUUUUUUAUUUUCUGAUAAGCAGAACUUUAAUCCCACCUCUCUACACAUUCAGCUCCAGUCUCAAAUCAAGAGAGACUUAUGCUCGACCAAUGAUUACCACAUCAAGGGCUGCAGUACAGUGGUGAUGUUCAGUCUGGGCCAUGAAAACACUUGGAGGAUUAUUAUGAUUCCAAAGAGGUGCAGAAUCUCAAGUCCCUGGAAGAAAUACGACUGCAGACUUUCACUUCAAGUCUUUGAGAAGGCUGUAAUCAUUCUAAUUGAACUGACUUUGACCGGGAAGCGUACGGAGUGUGGAGUUCUUCAUGCUGAUCGCCCGCCACAGUGGAGAGCAGUGUCCUGACUUGUGACGAGCUUCUUCUACAGUAUAUCAAGGGGUGGUGUGACCUGUCUGUAAAUCAGGUUUUCGUAAAAGGUGGAUUUUGGGCUCAUCCAGAAGACCAUUCAUCGACAAGAGCAUCCACCAUAGAACUGUGAGCAGCUAACUGGAUAGUGAGCCCAACCUUCAAGACCUCAAGUGGGAUUAAAAAGACUGUUUCUUCUAAGGAAGAACUUCCUUUGCUACUUCAUAGAGCACAGAUGAAACACACACCUGGAUUGAGCCCCAAUGAAAAAGACUGGGCUUAGACACUUCAAAUGUUUGUUUUAUUUCAUGUGCAUGUUUAUUAAGUUGUUAAUUGUAUAUUGUAAUCUUGAUCUGCAAUAUUUGUGUUCCUUACAUACAAAGUUUGAAAAUGUAUUCCUGUGUGCAUCUCUUGACUGGUAUUCAGACCUUGGGCUCCAGGAGUCCUACUUCUCUGAUGUUUGUCCACCUUCAACACUUUAUUUACAUUAACAUGGGUUAAAAACAACUAUGCUUUUCCCCUGAAUUUGCUCAGAUAUGUUGGUAGCUAUGACACACCAAAUGUUUUCAUAAUGUUGUUAGCAGUUAAAGAUAAUACUUGUAUUUGUAGUAGCGUCUUUUUACCAACUGUUUGAAUGGAAGUUCAAUAGACCUCCUUUUUGUUUCUCCGUUUACUUGAAAGUUGGACCCUGUUCCCACUGAGCUGUUAAUAAGUGCAUAAUAAA
This is a non-coding RNA of Labrus bergylta (ballan wrasse), 2171 nucleotides long. Lineage: Eukaryota; Metazoa; Chordata; Actinopteri; Labriformes; Labridae. The record is from RefSeq and is a predicted model, not a curated record.